This is a long non-coding RNA of Orcinus orca (killer whale), 1059 nucleotides long. RefSeq lists it as uncharacterized. Lineage: Eukaryota; Metazoa; Chordata; Mammalia; Artiodactyla; Delphinidae. The record is from RefSeq and is a predicted model, not a curated record. The transcript has 3 exons.
AGAGAAGGCAGAGGGCGAGGCUGCCCCGGGAACAAGAGGAGAGGGGGCAGCAGAGGAGGUCCCAUCUAGGCAGGACACAAUGAGAGCUGCUGUUUCCUUGAGAGAAUUCUGACAGCAAGGCAUAGAAAUGCAAGCCAACACUGCUAGCUCUGGAGGAAAAAAAAAAAAUCCAUGCUCUAAACACCUCCACGGGGCUGAAGGCUGCCAGGGAAAAAGGCACACAGAGGAGGGACCCGCCGGCGACUUUUCCCCAGGCUUGGACCAGUGGUGCUCAGGACAUACCAAGAAUCCUCACCCUAGAGGCUGCAGUCAACUCCUACAGAAGCUGCCCCCUGCUCUGGCUGGUCAAACGGAACCAAGUCCGUCUUCCUGAGAGGUUUGGUCCCCUUCAACCAGCUACAGCAGGGCUGGCAAGGCCCAGUCCUUGGAGAAACAGAAGAGAUUCAUCUGUGGCUGAAGUUACCUACUAACGUUUCCCUUAAGAAAGCGACUCUGAUUUUGUUAUCACACUGUCAUGCUUCCAGGAAGGGAGAAAAGGGGAGCCCUGGGUUCAAAAGUGAGCCAGAUUUCCAUGCUUAACACACAGAGCUCUGUGCCUGUGUACCCACAACUAGACCCACUCUUAUGCUCUUGACACACAGUAAAGAUUUUAGGAUGGACUGUGGUUCAGCCCUGGGCCAGCCAAGGGACGAGCAUGAGCCCCAGAAGACAGGGCCCCUGCUCAAAGGGCUAAGAGUCUAAGGAAAGAAAUUGGACUUAUGAAUAUGGCACAAUUCAAUGGAAUUGCAAGUCAUGGCAAGGCUGGUUCCAAGACAUAAUUGUGUUACACAGCCCACCAAAUGUGUCUGGCACACUGUGUACUAUCAGGUCAGCCCAAAGAUAGCUAUUCACUAAGAAAUUCACACGUAGCUCAGUUUCGCAUCGGCAGAAUGGGGAUAAUGAUAAUCAUAGUACCCACCACAUAUGGUUUUAUGUGGAAUGGAAUGAGAAUACAUGUAAAGGAGUUAGAAAGAUCUCAGUAAUUUUUACCUGCUAUUAAAGAAGGGAUCCUGACCUGCC